Molecule: ribosomal RNA, 253 nt
Filed under: uncultured bacterium
Lineage: Bacteria
Description: partial 16S ribosomal RNA
Rfam family: Bacterial small subunit ribosomal RNA
Source: RNAcentral
UACGUAGGGUGCGAGCGUUAAUCGGAAUACUGGGCGUAAAGCGUGCGCAGGCGGUGAUGUAAGACAGAUGUGAAAUCCCCGGGCUCAACCUGGGAACUGCAUUUGUGACUGCAUCGCUGGAGUGCGGCAGAGGGGGGAUGGAAUUCCGCGUGUAGCAGUGAAAUGCGUAGAUAUGCGGAGGAACACCGAUGGCGAAGGCAAUCCCCUGGGCCUGCACUGGACGCUCAUGCACGAAAGCGUGGGGAGCAAACAG